CAGCGCCACGAGUGGUAACCACGUUUAUUGGGCCUAAAGCGUCCGUAGCCGGUUUGAUAAAUCUUUUGUGAAAUUGUACAGCUUAACUGUACAGCGUGCAAGAGACACUGUCAAACUUGAGACCGGGAGGAGUCAGAAGUAUUCCAGAGGGAGCGGUAAAAUGUUAUAAUCUCUGGAGGACUACCUGUGGCGAAGGCGUCUGACCAGAACGGAUCUGACGGUGAGGGACGAAAGCUAGGGGAGCGAACCGGAUUAGAUACCCGAGUAGUCC
RNAcentral lists this ribosomal RNA (271 nucleotides) under uncultured archaeon. Its description in RNAcentral is "partial 16S ribosomal RNA". It matches the Rfam family "Archaeal small subunit ribosomal RNA", at positions 477 to 747 of the family's 1478-position model. The record is from RNAcentral.